CGUCCGCAACCUGCUGCUGCUGCCGGAGACCUCCCCAACCUGCUGCCCUCAUUGAGCUCGGGUCAAGCUUGCUGGAUCGAGAAGGAGCGCUGCCUCAAUGGUCAUUGGCAAGGAGUUUGAGCUCUCCCACACCUCGGAGUCCUCCAGUGUCUUCUUCUCUGUUUACAAGUUUUUUCCAGCCGUCCGGUGGAGAUGAGAUGGAUUUUGACUCUGUAGAAUAAUCUUAUGAUGAAGAGGAGGAAGAGAAGAUCAUUCCAGCCACAAAAAAAUGGUCUGCUGCCUCCAGGGCUGAUAUAUAUAUCGUUGAUGCUAUGAUGGCUGGGAAGGACGUGGGUGGAAGGUAACAUGAUGAUGGUCCCAGUUAAGGUUUCUCCGGUUGUUGCCGCCUAGGCUGUGUGGGGUGGCGGAGGCCAAGGGGACAUGCUGCUCCUACAGCAGCAGGCUGUUGGCACAAAGGCUGCUGCAGUUUAUGGGCGGAUGGGGGUACACAUCGGUGAGUGGCAGGUGGAGCGGCCUACUUGUGAUUGGUGCGGCUGCUCCCUUUGGAUGCAUGGUUUUUAACCACUAUCAUAGGUAAAAAAGGGAAGAAAUUAAGACGGGAAGUUAACUGGUUUUGGAUUCUUCCUUUGGAACUCAAGGUGGCAGUGAUGGCAAGGAUGGGUGGGAUUUGGUCUAGGAACUAUGACUUGCUCCACUCAGAUGACGCUGAGGACAGGAACACGACUAUGACUCGUAGCUCGGUGAAGCUUGCCGGAUCGAGAAGGAGCGAGGGCCUAUCGCCAGCCACCGCCUCCAUGACCAUUGAGAAGGAGUUUGAGCUUUCGCACACCUCAGAGGCCUCCAGUGUCUUAUUCUUCGGUUACAAGUUUUCCAGCCGGCCGGUGGAGAUAAGAUGGAUUUUGACUCUGUAGAAUUAUCUCAAGGGACAAAUCAGCCACGAUUAUCUGGACUGAAGGGCGCUGCAUGCCGGCAACAGGGCAACAGACACCAGGACACGUGGCCGAGGGAGUGAGCUCAACGUAGGCGCCGGGUACGGCCACCAACAAGGUCUGCUUCCUUUGCCCAUCUUAGUCUUCCCAGUAAGAUCCCAUCUCAGCUCUGUGCAUGAGCUGCUUCUGUUUUGAUUCUUAUUUGGUGUGGAAAUUUUUGGAGUGUUGGGAUAUAAUAUGAAAGGGGAACGCUCUGCAUAUUUCCAAUUGAGCCACUGAUUAUCUCAUUCGUAGAAUGAUUCAGGAAUCCUCAAAAUUGGAUAACUAGCUUCAUUCUAUAGCUGGAACCUUGCCAUGUUGACUCACGCGCUUGCACUCCCUGUGUGAUCAUGUCAUAAGUGCCACCAGUACUUUUUAUGUAUGGUUUUUGUGCCUGCCCGAAGUUACUUAUAGUUUCAAAAUCCUACAGGACACCAUGUUGCGCGGUGGAGCUCGCCCUACAUGGCACCAUAUUGAGCGGCGGCGGCAACAUGUAGUUCUAUGUGAUUUCAGUUGAAUUCUCUUCAUCGGAUCAGUCUGGUAAUCUUCUUUUUCUACUUGUGUUGUGAAGGAGGAGAUGUGGAGCUUAGUGGAGAUGAUGUUGUGCUGGUGCAGACUGUGGGUGGCUGUGUAACUCAUCGGUGUCCGGUCCUGCGACUCCGACUUCAUUGCCAAUGAGGAUGACCACAAAUUUCUGCCCGUAUUACUCAUUUCACUAUCCCCUCCGGUUUCUGCGUAUGGCCUGCUUUUGUUUGAUUAGACUUCAGUGUGAGAAGUUUUUGAGUGGUGGGCUUAUGUGAGGGGAAUGCACUGCAAAUUUCUAGUGUUGUCUGUGAUUUUCUUAUUAAAAAAUGAUUAGAGGAUCCUCACUCCUCAGAUUGGAUAACUAGCUUGAUUCUUGAGCCGAAACUUUUUCAUGUCUACUUAUUCAGUCCAACUGCUUCUAUGCAUAUGAGAAGUGUGUAUGUUGGGUAAUUUCUUGGAUUUCUUACUUUGAAAAGGGAGCUCACUGGUGUUGAGCACCACGAUAUACAGCUGUUACCUGUCCAACUAGCUGUUACCUUUUCAACUAGCUGAGGUCAAGGAUUAUGAGUCGACGAGUCGAUCUGGGGUAGAGGCUCUAGUCACGACUCAUGAGUUUAACAAUAGGUUCUAUAAAAUACAUAUAAUAUAUAAAUACCAAUAGUGUAAUACUAGUAUAUAAAUAUGUAAUACAGUAGAAGGCCGGUGAAGGAGAGUUGGGUGAGGAUGGAGUGGAGGAGCAGGCUAGCAAGAGCGGCAGCCACCGGUGGGGAACAGACUAGCAGUAGCCAACUAAUAGCAGACAAGUGCCCGUAACAAUCAGUGGACGAGACUUGGAGGAGGAGCAGCAACCGGUGGAGGAGAACAUGUGCGGUGCCAUGGGCUUGCAGCGGCUCCGGACGACAUUCUCGUGGCGGUGCGUGGCCAAGGGAGAGGACAUGGUCGGCAGGAGUGAGGAUUCGUUUUGGGUUUCAUGGGGAAAAACUGGGCAGCUCCAGCUUGGUUUUCCAGAACUGGGCAGGCAAUAUUGAAAAAAAAAUGACAUAUGGGGUCAUUUUCGAGUCGUUUGACUCAAAAAACUGAACUAGUUGAGCUUUAUCGUGACUAGUUGAAUGAGUUGCUUGACUCAUCCAGUGAGUCGAGUCGAGACAUUGAGUCGACCUCGAAGUUGUGACUCAUUGACAGUCGCGACUAGUCAAGCGACUCGAAAUCCAUGGCUGAGGUACAUGGAUUGCCAACAGCAGGUAUACCAUGGAUUUAAUUGCUUCUAGAUUGUUGUUGAUUUUUGAUAUCAAAAUGUGAUUUAAUGCCCAUUAUGAUGUCUAAUGCAUCUGAUUCGUAUGUUGAGAUGCUAGUUUUUUAUUGUUUGGAAGCAUGAUUAGUUCAAUGUUUUGUUCAUGUAUUUAUACAUUAUACCAUGAUCAAUACAGCUUCUUUGUUCUUUCUGUGUUUCUCUUCUCUUUCUAGAACUGCUAUGUUUUUGGAUUUGUCAAGGUUUUACAUGCUUGUGAUGCUUGCUAUAUUUUCAGUCUUCUUUGACACGGAGAACGAUAACUAAGCACUCAAGAGUGCCCUCAAGAACCUCUACAUCCACUGUGCAAUUUGGCAAUUCUGGUGGAUGGAGGCUGUCUGCGAUGGAGAAACAAUUCUUGAGAAGCUCUUGUUCUUGGGCCUGGAAUCAAACCGUUUCUAUAAAUUUGCCACAUCAAUGCUCAUUAUGAAGACCACAAAAGGGAGGCAAUAUGUUGCUUCUCUAGACCCUUCCUGUAAAGAAUGAUCAUCGCCAUGUUUUGGGAUUUGGUUGAAUUUAGAUAUGUGACAGGUGAAGCCAUUUGAAGAAGACAAAGUCGCUAGCCUGUAGUGGAACCUGGUGCAUCACUUGGAAGAAAGAAAUCUGGAAGACCGGCGACAUCAUGAUAUGCAUGCUUUGGUAUUCAAGCUGUCUCUUUGCUCCAUUUUAUUUCAUCUUCACGUAGGCAUCUACCCAGAUCGAAGUAGAUGGUGCUUUUUCAUGCUCUUGAAUGGUGUGCCUUGGUGGAAUCCGACACCUUGUAGAGUAUUCAUCUUAUGUCCCGCUGAUUUGAUUUGUAUAGUAAUGGAAAGUGAUGCGCUUGCUGCCUGUAUACUAUCUGUUUCCUGGUUGAGCCUUGCUCGAUCAAGUUCUUAGUAGGAAUUACAUGUAUAGUAUUGACUCUCUACUAAUUUCAUCCAAAACUGAUGUAUUCCCAACA
Long non-coding RNA from Lolium rigidum, 3721 nucleotides. RefSeq lists it as uncharacterized. The record is from RefSeq and is a predicted model, not a curated record. The transcript is spliced from 12 exons. NCBI's taxonomy places the organism in Eukaryota, Viridiplantae, Streptophyta, Magnoliopsida, Poales, Poaceae.